This 1441-nucleotide ribosomal RNA is filed under the name Parhippolyte uveae. RNAcentral describes it as "SSU rRNA". It matches the Rfam family "Eukaryotic small subunit ribosomal RNA", at positions 426 to 1804 of the family's 1831-position model. Lineage: Eukaryota; Metazoa; Arthropoda; Malacostraca; Decapoda; Barbouriidae. The record is from RNAcentral.
CAGCAGGCACGCAAUUACCAAUCCCAGCUCGGGGAGGUAGUGACGAAAAAUAACAAUGCGGGACUCUUCCGAGUCUGCGUAAUUGGAAUGAGCACACUUUAAAUCCUUUAGCAACAACCAAUUGGAGGGCAAGUCUGGUGCCAGCAGCCGCGGUAAUUCCAGCUCCAAUAGCGUAUAUUAAAGUUGUUGCGGUUAAAAAGCUCGUAGUUCGAGGUCAGUUCCGGACUGGCUGGGGAGGUCACCGCCCGGUGCUUGCCCGUCAGGCUCCGAACAGCUUCACACAGUAGAAGCCAAGCCGGUUCUCGCCGGGGUGCUCUUGACCGAGUGUCCCGCGCGGCCGGCCAGUUUACCUUGAAUAAAUGAGAGUGCUCAAAGCAGGCUACUCUUAAAACUAAAGCCCGAAUGUUACCUGCAUGGAAUGAUGGAAGAUGAUCUCGGUUCCAUUUUAUUGGUGGUGGGAAUCCGAGUUAAUGAUAAAGAGGGACUGUCGGGGGCAUCCGUACUACGACGCGAGAGGUGAAAUUCAGUGACCGUCGUAGGACGAACAACAGCGAAAGCAUUUGCCAAGAAUGUCUUCGUUGAUCAAGAACGAAAGUUAGAGGAUCGAAGGCGAUCAGAUACCGCCCUAGUUCUAACCCUAAACGAUGCUGACUAGCAAUUCGCCGUCGUUAUUCCCAUGACGUGGCGAGACGCCCCCGGGAAACCUCAAGUUUUUGAGUUCCGGGGGUAGUAUGGUUGCAAAACUGAAACUUAAAGGAAUUGACGGAAGGGCACCACCAGGAGUGGAGCCUGCGGCUUAAUUUGACUCAACACGGGAAACCUCACCAGGCCCGGACACCAGAAGGAUUGACAGAUUAAGAGCUCUUUCUCGAUUUGGUGGGUGGUGGUGCAUGGCCGUUCUUAGUUGGUGGAGUGAUUUGUCUGGUUAAUUCCGGUAACGAACGAGACUCUGGCCUACUAAAUAGUCGACGCGGGUUUUGGUGCAUGAGCCCCGUUCGACCUAGUCUUCUUAGAGGGAUGAGCAGCGAGUAUAGCUGCAGGAGAUUGAGCAAUAACAGGUCUGUGAUGCCCUUAGAUGUCCUGGGCCGCACGCGCGCUACACUGAAUGGGUUAGCGGGUUGUCCUUCUCCGAGAGGAGCGGGAAAUCGCGUGAAAACCAUUCGUGAUAGGGAUUGGGGCUUGCAAUUGUUUCCCAUGAACGAGGAAUUCCCAGUAAGCGCAAGUCAUCAGCUUGCGUUGAUUAAGUCCCUGCCCUUUGUACACACCGCCCGUCGCUACUACCGAUUGAAUGAUUUAGUGAGGCCUUCGGACUGGCGGUCUUGGACUGGGUUCCGCUCGCCAUCCAACCCCAGCAAUGGGGGGCGGCGGACUCGCCAUGACGAGCCGGAAAGAUGUCCAAACUGAUCAUUUAGAGGAAGUAAAACGUCUUAACAAGGUUUCC